This 380-nucleotide ribosomal RNA is filed under the name uncultured eukaryote. Its description in RNAcentral is "partial 18S ribosomal RNA". It matches the Rfam family "Eukaryotic small subunit ribosomal RNA", at positions 592 to 976 of the family's 1831-position model. The record is from RNAcentral.
CAAUAGCGUAUAUUAAAGUUGUUGCGGUUAAAAAGCUCGUAGUUGGAGUUCUGCCAGGUGCCGCCUGUCCGCCCCAGUGGUGAGUACGUGGCGCGCAUUUGGCCCUUUCAAGGGGAGCGUAUCUGCACUUUAUUGUGUGGUGCGGGAUCCUUGACUUUUACUUUGAGGAAAUAGGAGUGUUCCAAGCAGGCUCUCGUCGUGCACAGCUCAGCAUGGAAUAAUAGCAUUGGACCUCGAUUCUAAGCUGUUGGUUGCCAGAAGCGAGGUAAUGAUGAAGAGGGAUAGUUGGGGGCAUUCGUAUUUAACCGUCAGAGGUGAAAUUCUUGGAUUUGUUAAAGACGGACUACUGCGAAAGCAUCUGCCAUGGAUGUCUUCAUUGA